Molecule: long non-coding RNA, 323 nt
Organism: Alligator sinensis (Chinese alligator)
Lineage: Eukaryota; Metazoa; Chordata; Crocodylia; Alligatoridae
Exons: 2
Source: RefSeq, a predicted model, not a curated record
GUUGAAGUGGAAUUCCUUCUCCAGCUCCAGGGUCUGGUAGCGGGUGUACGUCUGCCGACCCCGCUUCCUAUCUGGACCUGAAAGCAGGCAAAGAAGUUAGCUGGGAAACCGAAGACGGGCGCGUAGAUGGAAACUUCGCCACCGCCAAGUCGGACUUGCACAGCAGCCGAACCUUGCACCAGAUCUGACUUCCUAAUGAACCAGAGUCCUGGGCUGCUCGAUAUUCCGUAUAUUUCGGGGGAAGAAAACACAUCUUGCACAUUAAAAAAAAGUCUCUGCAGUAAACUGUAACCAUGUGGCUAUCAUAAAAAAUGUUGAAAUGA